Molecule: transfer RNA, 75 nt
Filed under: Nevskiaceae bacterium
Lineage: Bacteria; Pseudomonadati; Pseudomonadota; Gammaproteobacteria; Nevskiales; Nevskiaceae
Description: Sinobacteraceae bacterium tRNA-Val
Rfam family: tRNA
About the family: Transfer RNA (tRNA) molecules are approximately 80 nucleotides in length. Their secondary structure includes four short double-helical elements and three loops (D, anti-codon, and T loops). Further hydrogen bonds mediate the characteristic L-shaped molecular structure. tRNAs have two regions of fundamental functional importance: the anti-codon, which is responsible for specific mRNA codon recognition, and the 3' end, to which the tRNAs corresponding amino acid is attached (by aminoacyl-tRNA synthetases). tRNAs cope with the degeneracy of the genetic code in two manners: having more than one tRNA (with a specific anti-codon) for a particular amino acid; and 'wobble' base-pairing, i.e. permitting non-standard base-pairing at the 3rd anti-codon position.
Source: RNAcentral
GGACGGUUAGCUCAGCGGUAGAGCAUCGCCUUCACACGGCGGGGGUCACUGGUUCGAGCCCAGUACCGUCCACCA